UGAGUCGAACGCGCAGUUCGGUGUAGCAAUACAUCGGAUGGGCGCGUGGCGAACGGGUGCGUAACACGUGGAUAACCUUCCUUCAGGUGGGGAAUAACCCAGCGAAAGUUGGGCUAAUACCGCAUAACAUUACGAGGGCACAUGCUCUUGUACUCAAACCCGCAAGGGGCCAGAAGAGGGAUCCGCGGCCGAUUAGCUAGUUGGCGAGGUAAUGGCUCACCAAGGCAAUGAUCGGUAUCCGGACUGAGAGGUUGGCCGGACACACUGGAACUGAGACACGGUCCAGACUCCUACGGGAGGCAGCAGUGGGGAAUCUUGCGCAAUGGGCGAAAGCCUGACGCAGCAACGCCGCGUGGGGGAUGAAGCUUCUCGGAGUGUAAACCCCUUUCGACCCGGAAGAAUGUCCGCAAGGACUUGACGGUACGGGUAUAAGAAGCCCCGGCUAACUACGUGCCAGCAGCCGCGGUAAUACGUAGGGGGCCAGCGUUGCUCGGAAUUACUGGGCGUAAAGGGUCCGUAGGCGGUGUGGUAAGUCGGGAGUGAAAUCUCUGGGCUUAACUCAGAGGCUGCUUUCGAAACUGCCGUGCUAGAGUGUGAGAUAGGCGAGUGGAAUUGCGGGUGUAGCGGUGAAAUGCGUAGAUAUCCGCAGGAACAUCCGAGGCGAAAGCGGCUCGCUGGAUCACAACUGACGCUGAGGGACGAAAGCUAGGGGAGCAAACAGGAUUAGAUACCCUGGUAGUCCUAGCCCUAAACCAUCGACUUGGGGUUUGCCUGUACGGGGCAAGUCCCGUAGCUACGCGUUAAGUCCUGCGCCUGGGGAUAUCGCAAGACUGAAACUCAAAGGAAUUGACGGGGGCCCGCACAAGCGGUGGA
This 873-nucleotide ribosomal RNA is filed under the name uncultured bacterium. RNAcentral describes it as "bacterial SSU rRNA". It matches the Rfam family "Bacterial small subunit ribosomal RNA", at positions 58 to 936 of the family's 1533-position model. The record is from RNAcentral.